AGUGAACGCUGGCGGUAGGCCUAACGCAUGCAAGUCGAACGGCAGCACAGUAAGAGCUUGCUCUUACGGGUGGCGAGUGGCGGACGGGUGAGGAAUACAUCGGAAUCUACUUUUUCGUGGGGGAUAACGUAGGGAAACUUACGCUAAUACCGCAUACGACCUACGGGUGAAAGCAGGGGAUCUUCGGACCUUGCGCGGUUGAAUGAGCCGAUGUCGGAUUAGCUAGUUGGCGGGGUAAAGGCCCACCAAGGCGACGAUCCGUAGCUGGUCUGAGAGGAUGAUCAGCCACACUGGAACUGAGACACGGUCCAGACUCCUACGGGAGGCAGCAGUGGGGAAUAUUGGACAAUGGGCGCAAGCCUGAUCCAGCCAUACCGCGUGGGUGAAGAAGGCCUUCGGGUUGUAAAGCCCUUUUGUUGGGAAAGAAAAGCAGCAGGUUAAUACCCCGCUGUUCUGACGGUACCCAAAGAAUAAGCACCGGCUAACUUCGUG
RNAcentral lists this ribosomal RNA (492 nucleotides) under uncultured bacterium. RNAcentral's name for it is "partial 16S ribosomal RNA". It matches the Rfam family "Bacterial small subunit ribosomal RNA", at positions 29 to 507 of the family's 1533-position model. The record is from RNAcentral.